UUAUGGAAGAAAAAGUCGUAACAAGGUUUCCGUAGGUGCACCUGCGGAAGGAUCAUUA
This 58-nucleotide ribosomal RNA is filed under the name Drechslerella sp. ZY-2011a. RNAcentral describes it as "partial 18S ribosomal RNA". It matches the Rfam family "Eukaryotic small subunit ribosomal RNA", at positions 1774 to 1831 of the family's 1831-position model. Lineage: Eukaryota; Fungi; Ascomycota; Orbiliomycetes; Orbiliales; Orbiliaceae. The record is from RNAcentral.